CUCGCGUGCGAGAUGACAAAACUUCGCCAUUUAGCGCCGUCUUUAAUUAAAUCGUACAGACUACAACUACUACUAUAUACUACAGAUGUAGCCCUACACACCGACGGUCGUCGCAAAGGCGAAAUUACGUAAUCACAUACGAGAAUCCAUAAUAAUCUAUAGUGCAGUAAUACGGACAAAGAGAGUUAUUAUUGCGAAGGACCGACGAAAGCCCACGUCACAAACACAAAACGUGCGUAUCGCGAUAAUAACAUAUUAGUGAUAUUACCUUCCUACCUAUAUUAUUACGUUCGUUUUGUGUUAAUGUGUUAUACCGCGUUUAGGGUCGGCACGUUCGUGACUUUUUUCUCCCACUAGUCGUGCGCCAUUGCAAACCGAAUUAUAAAUUCGUUCGGUACUUAUAUAAUAUUGUAUACCCACAGAAUCUGCAGAUGCACUCAAUGUAUUAUACAUUUCAUAUUUAUAAAAAUUGAGCCAAAAAUGUAAAACAAUUCGUCAAUUGAGGACGGCUGCGCCGAUUUGGCUCAAUUUUUUUUAACCGUUCGCAAUUGCCAGGAGAAGGUUUUUGCGAAAAAAAAUGUCGGAAAAACGCUUUUGAAAUCAAAGGCCAAGUUUAACACAAAGUGGGCUCAUUGAGGGCAACCUAACCGAUAUGCCAAACGCACCACAUACAUUUUUACAGAUUUACUUUACAGGCGGCGAGGACUAGGGAAAAAAAUGAAAAUUUGGUUAUUUUGUUAUUUUUAUAGGCCGUCGUCGUUCACAGUACUCCAUUUCUCUUUCAAUCACAUGCCAGUAUACCACAUCCCCACAAGCUCACAAUAAUUUUGGACUUUUAAGUUAUUUUACAAAAAUAUUCAUUCGAAAUAAUUUAUAUGGCAAGACAACGUUUACCGCUGGUAGAUAGCCUACCUGAUAAUAUACUGCUCGCAUUAUCACAAUCAAGUCUCUUUAGUAGAGAUGACAUUUUUAACGGUCCACAAAGUGCACGGAAUCAGCUAGUAUUAUAUAGUAUGUAUAUAUUCAGUGAUUGACAUAGAACGAUAAACGCACAUUAUGUAAAACUUCAAAACGCAUAUUAUUAUUAUGAUGAAAUUCUCGUCUCAGAAACUCCUUUUUUUUCAAGUUGGUGUUCUAAAUGCAAGCGGUCUGUUUCUAAAAUGUUAAACAUUUUUUAAUACGUUAGUUGAAAACAUUGCUUACUGGACUUACUUCGUACUGUUUACCCACAUGUUUAAUACAUUUAACUCAUUAGGAUCAACCACUGCAGACUAGUUAGUGUUAGGUUAGGUAAGACAUUGUGACAAAAAUGUUAUUAUUUCACAAAUCAAAUUACAAAUCAUAAAAAUAUAAAUACGAUAAACAUUAGCUAAAGUGUACUAAGUAUAUACAACAGACUAAAUUUAUUGAUUAACAAUUAUAUUUCUAUAGCUGACGAUAUUGGGCUUUGACUGAGACAUACAUGUCUCAGUCUUAAAAAAAAUUGUAUUUUUGAAGCUCUUUUUUGUACAGAUAAUUAAUAAGGCAAUGCAAUUAGAUGUCUAUAUACAUAGUCUUUGAUAAUAAUUCAAGUAUUUGAGAUUAGAAGACAAAAAGAAAAUUAAUACAUAACACUAAUAAAGCGCUGAAUAUUAUAUCAAAUCGUUUUUUGUUAAAUUAACAGACAUACGAUUCGUAUAAGCGUAAAAGAUAUUGAUAAAAAGUAAAAAUCCAUAUGAAUUACAUACCACGUGAGUAAGCUUAUGUAAUAAAAUAAUUGAAUUACCUAUAGAUAAACAAUAAUCUUAUAUUUAUAUAAAGUGUACACGCACAGUUUCAGAGGCACCAAAAAUGUAAAAACGAUUUGACAUUAAGAUUUGAAUCACCAAAUGUUACAACUUAAAGAUGUUGAUUUACCAUUAUUAAACAAUUUGCAAAUAUUUCGUCGAUGUAGAGCUGAGUACUGCCAAGCAGUUUGUGGUGGACAUUUCAUUUCAAGGGGAAUGAUGACGUUAUCAUUUUCUGGACUACACAAUUCUAAAUCACUUAUUAAUCUCUUUGAUAUACAAAGUAGUAAGUAUAUGGUUAGUACAAUAUAUUAUUUAAUAAAAACUAUAGCAUUUAUACGAUUUUAGAAUAUAACGUAUGUCUAAUUGAUAUAUAAAAAUCAUAUAUUUUUAAAUUAUUUAAACAGAAAAGUCAAAGUAGAUUGUCAACAAACAAAUUGGUUAAUACAAUAAAAUUGUAUACAUAUAUGAAUUCUUAUUCAGAUAAAUAUACGAAAUAGAAAUAGUACAUAUUCAAAUAAAUUGUUGAAAAGAAAUGUCGAAUUAAUAAUAAAUUGUAUUAAAAUAAACUCAGCAUUAUCAAAAACAGUCUAGUCCGCUACAAUCACCAACUAACGACGACGGGCAAAAUA
Molecule: long non-coding RNA, 2398 nt
Organism: Myzus persicae (green peach aphid)
Lineage: Eukaryota; Metazoa; Arthropoda; Insecta; Hemiptera; Aphididae
Exons: 2
Source: RefSeq, a predicted model, not a curated record